AUUGAACGCUGGCGGCAGGCCUAACACAUGCAAGUCGAACGGUAAGAGGAAGAAGCUUGCUUCUUUGCUGACGAGUGGCGGACGGGUGAGUAAUGUCUGGGAAACUGCCUGAUGGAGGGGGAUAACUACUGGAAACGGUAGCUAAUACCGCAUAACGUCGCAAGACCAAAGAGGGGGACCUUCGGGCCUCUUGCCAUCGGAUGUGCCCAGAUGGGAUUAGCUAGUAGGUGGGGUAACGGCUCACCUAGGCGACGAUCCCUAGCUGGUCUGAGAGGAUGACCAGCCACACUGGAACUGAGACACGGUCCAGACUCCUACGGGAGGCAGCAGUGGGGAAUAUUGCACAAAGGGCGCAAGCCUGAUGCAGCCAUGCCGCGUGUAUGAAGAAGGCCUUCGGGUUGUAAAGUACUUUCAGCGGGGAGGAAGGGAGUAAAGUUAAUACCUUUGCUCAUUGACGUUACCCGCAGAAGAAGCACCGGCUAACUCCGUG
RNAcentral lists this ribosomal RNA (490 nucleotides) under uncultured bacterium. RNAcentral's name for it is "partial 16S ribosomal RNA". It matches the Rfam family "Bacterial small subunit ribosomal RNA", at positions 30 to 507 of the family's 1533-position model. The record is from RNAcentral.